GUGGGGAAUUUUGGACAAUGGGCGCAAGCCUGAUCCAGCCAUUCCGCGUGAGUGAAGAAGGCCUUCGGGUUGUAAAGCUCUUUCGGCCGGGAAGAAAUCGCCAUCUCUAACAUAGGUGGUGGAUGACGGUACCGGAAGAAGAAGCACCGGCUAACUACGUGCCAGCAGCCGCGGUAAUACGUAGGGUGCGAGCGUUAAUCGGAAUUACUGGGCGUAAAGCGUGCGCAGGCGGCGCAUUAAGACAGGUGUGAAAUCCCCGGGCUCAACCUGGGAAUUGCGCUUGUGACUGAUGUGCUCGAGUUCGGCAGAGGGGGGUGGAAUUCCACGUGUAGCAGUGAAAUGCGUAGAGAUGUGGAGGAACACCGAUGGCGAAGGCAGCCCCCUGGGUCGCGACUGACGCUCAUGCACGAAAGCGUGGGGAGCAAACAGGAUUAGAAACCCCAGUAGUCC
This 450-nucleotide ribosomal RNA is filed under the name uncultured bacterium. RNAcentral's name for it is "bacterial SSU rRNA". It matches the Rfam family "Bacterial small subunit ribosomal RNA", at positions 354 to 796 of the family's 1533-position model. The record is from RNAcentral.